RNAcentral lists this ribosomal RNA (484 nucleotides) under uncultured bacterium. Its description in RNAcentral is "partial 16S ribosomal RNA". It matches the Rfam family "Bacterial small subunit ribosomal RNA", at positions 30 to 507 of the family's 1533-position model. The record is from RNAcentral.
AUUGAACGCUGGCGGCAGGCCUAACACAUGCAAGUCGAGCGGAUGAAGGGAGCUUGCUCCUGGAUUCAGCGGCGGACGGGUGAGUAAUGCCUAGGAAUCUGCCUGGUCGUGGGGGAUAACGUCCGGAAACGGGCGCUAAUACCGCAUACGUCCUGAGGGAGAAAGUGGGGGAUCUUCGGACCUCACGCUAUCAGAUGAGCCUAGGUCGGAUUAGCUAGUUGGUGGGGUAAAGGCCUACCAAGGCGACGAUCCGUAACUGGUCUGAGAGGAUGAUCAGUCACACUGGAACUGAGACACGGUCCAGACUCCUACGGGAGGCAGCAGUGGGGAAUAUUAGACAAUGGGCGAAAGCCUGAUCCAGCCAUGCCGCGUGUGUGAAGAAGGUCUUCGGAUUGUAAAGCACUUUAAGUUGGGAGGAAGGGCAGUAAGUUAAUACCUUGCUGUUUUGACGUUACCAACAGAAUAAGCACCGGCUAACUUCGUG